This 159-nucleotide ribosomal RNA is filed under the name uncultured Piloderma. RNAcentral's name for it is "5.8S ribosomal RNA". It matches the Rfam family "5.8S ribosomal RNA". From Rfam's summary of the family: 5.8S ribosomal RNA (5.8S rRNA) is a component of the large subunit of the eukaryotic ribosome. It is transcribed by RNA polymerase I as part of the 45S precursor that also contains 18S and 28S rRNA. Lineage: Eukaryota; Fungi; Basidiomycota; Agaricomycetes; Atheliales; Atheliaceae. The record is from RNAcentral.
CAACUUUCAACAACGGAUCUCUUGGCUCUCGCAUCGAUGAAGAACGCAGCGAAAUGCGAUAAGUAAUGUGAAUUGCAGAUUUUCAGUGAAUCAUCGAAUCUUUGAACGCACCUUGCGCUCCUUGGUAUUCCGAGGAGCAUGCUUGUUUGAGUGUCAUUA